UUUAAAUGUAAAAUAAAUAUACUAAAGUAGUNUUAGUUAUGUUCUUGAAAUUUAAAGAUUUUGGCGGUAUUUUAGUCUAUUUAGAGGAGCCUGUUCUAUAAUUGAUAAUCCACGAUUAAUUUUACUUAAUUUAGAUAAAUUUGUAUACCGUCGUUAUAAGAAGAUUUUAAAAGAAUACAAAUUUUUAAUAUUUUGGAUAAAAAAAUAUAUCAGAUCAAGGUGCAGUUUAUAAUUAAGAAGAAAUGGGCUACAAUAAAUUUAUUUAAUUAUACGGAUUAAAGAGAGAAAUAACUUUAUGAAGGUGGAUUUAAUAGUAAUAAAAUUAAUUUAAAUUUUAUGAUUUUAGCUCUAAAAUAUG
This 358-nucleotide ribosomal RNA is filed under the name Carabus deyrollei deyrollei. RNAcentral's name for it is "partial 12S ribosomal RNA". The record is from RNAcentral. Lineage: Eukaryota; Metazoa; Arthropoda; Insecta; Coleoptera; Carabidae.